RNAcentral lists this transfer RNA (74 nucleotides) under Cylindrotheca closterium. It matches the Rfam family "tRNA". Rfam says of the family: Transfer RNA (tRNA) molecules are approximately 80 nucleotides in length. Lineage: Eukaryota; Bacillariophyta; Bacillariophyceae; Bacillariales; Bacillariaceae. RNAcentral also lists the same sequence under 2 other names. The record is from RNAcentral.
GCAGAGAUGGUCUAGUUGGUUAUGACGCGGCUUUAACACAGCUGAGGUCCCGGGUUCGAUUCCCGGUCUUUGUA